RNAcentral lists this ribosomal RNA (519 nucleotides) under uncultured bacterium. RNAcentral's name for it is "bacterial SSU rRNA". It matches the Rfam family "Archaeal small subunit ribosomal RNA", at positions 345 to 866 of the family's 1478-position model. The record is from RNAcentral.
AACCUCCGCAAUGUGAGAAAUCGCGACGGGGGGAUCCCAAGUGCCAUUCUUAACGGGAUGGCUUUUCAUUAGUGUAAAGAGCUUUUGGAAUAAGAGCUGGGCAAGACCGGUGCCAGCCGCCGCGGUAACACCGGCAGCUCUAGUGGUAACAAUUUUUAUUGGGCCUAAAGCGUCCGUAGCCGGUUUAAUAAGUCUCUGGUGAAAUCCUGUAGCUUAACUGUGGGAAUUGCUGGAGAUACUAUUAGACUUGAGACCGGGAGAGGUUAGAGGUACUCCCAGGGUAGAGGUGAAAUUCUGUAAUCCUGGGAGGACCGCCUGUUGCGAAGGCGUCUAACUGGAACGGUUCUGACGGUGAGGGACGAAAGUUAGGGGCGCGAACCGGAUUAGAUACCCGGGUAGUCCUAACUGUAACGAUGCGGACUUGGUGUUGGGGUGGCUUUGAGCUGCUCCAGUGCCGAAGGGAAGCUGUUAAGUCCGCCGCCUGGGAGUACGGUCGCAAGACUGAAACUUAAAGGAAUU